AAAAGUUCACUAAUUUCAGCAGUUCUCGCCUCUUCUUGUGCUCCUCUGUUUUUUUCUUGGCAGGUCCCUCAUCAGCUGGAGAAAGGUCCUCGUAGGCGAUGCCAUCAACGUCUAUUUCACCAGGUCUGAAGCUACAGAGAAAGUGAAGGAAGCUGGAACUUGUCUGAGGAAGUUCCUCUUUCCUGGAAGCACACACAGGUACAAAAAAUAAAAUAAAAAUAAAAGAGAGUCAUUAAAGAACCCAUAACACCUGAGAGCCCCUGACAACUGCCUUCUGAAGUGGUAAAGCUAUUCCUGAGGGAGUGUGGAGCCUAAGAAGUUGGCAACACACGUGGCCUGAAAGAAUCUGCUCUCCACUACUAUGAAAGUCACCCAGAGUAGUUAGUCCCUGAGAAGAGAUGACAGAAUUCUUCAAACAUGAUUCAGAACAAAAGUUACCAUGGAAGAGGCUAUUUAUAUGAAGGGGAAAAAUGGAUUAUUCUGGUACAUUUAAUCAUCAAAACAGGAUGAUUAAUUUUAAAGGAAUUAGAAUACACCACAGUACAUAUUACUGAAAACGAUCAACUAAACUCAAGUUCUAUUGGACUGUUUACAAGAACAUCAGAAGUUCUGGGAUCCUGUGACUUCUCACAGCACCUGCGCCACAGCACCGUGUACACACCACCGUGCAGAUGUGACAUGGGAGUCUCCCUCCUCACACUUGGGUGUACCCAGGAGAGUGUGGAGUAACAGUUUAAAACUUUAGGGCCAGCAAACAAUUGUGAUUCAGCCCUGAGUAAAUUAAGGGAUGUCUAGAUCACAAGGAAAUAUAACAAAAUACCUUGGGGAAAAAUUUUAAAUCAUCUCACUGGCAUAAGCACUUUGAGAAUCCAAAAUGGGUCUGUCUUCCUCAAAGUUAAUGAUGAGAAAGAGCACCAUGAACACAUAGUAACAUUCUGUGAGAGCCAGUCUCCAGAC
Long non-coding RNA from Talpa occidentalis (Iberian mole), 957 nucleotides. RefSeq lists it as uncharacterized. Lineage: Eukaryota; Metazoa; Chordata; Mammalia; Eulipotyphla; Talpidae. The record is from RefSeq and is a predicted model, not a curated record. The transcript has 4 exons.